This 440-nucleotide ribosomal RNA is filed under the name uncultured bacterium. RNAcentral describes it as "partial 16S ribosomal RNA". It matches the Rfam family "Bacterial small subunit ribosomal RNA", at positions 338 to 795 of the family's 1533-position model. The record is from RNAcentral.
CCUACGGGAGGCAGCAGUAAGGGAUAUUGGUCAAUGGGGGAAACCCUGAACCAGCAACGCCGCGUGAGGGAAGACGGUUUUCGGAUUGUAAACCUCUGUCCUCUGUGAAGAUGAUGACGGUAGCAGAGGAGGAAGCUCCGGCUAACUACGUGCCAGAAGCCGCGGUAAUACGUAGGGAGCGAGCGUUGUCCGGAUUUACUGGGUGUAAAGGGUGCGUAGGCGGCUUGGCAAGUCAGUAGUGAAAUCCAUGGGCUUAACCCAUGAGCUGCUGUUGAAACUGUCGAGCUUGAGUGAGGUAGAGGUAGGCGGAAUUCCCGGUGUAGCGGUGAAAUGCGUAGAGAUCGGGAGGAACACCAAUGGCGAAGGCAGCCUGCUGAGGUUUAACUGACGCUGAGGCACGAAAGCGUGGGUAGCGAACAGGAUUAGAUACCCGGGUAGUC